This is a long non-coding RNA of Gasterosteus aculeatus aculeatus (three-spined stickleback), 857 nucleotides long. NCBI's taxonomy places the organism in Eukaryota, Metazoa, Chordata, Actinopteri, Perciformes, Gasterosteidae. The record is from Ensembl.
AAUCGAUGGUGGCAUGUCGGUGUACAAGGAUCUUUUUGCAAAGAAGAAAAAAGAGCGACCUAUCACUAUGUUCUUCUCCCGAACAAACACACCUGCACCGCGGGCUUCAGAAGAAGAGAAAACUGCAGAGCGCAGUCACGAUGAAGCGGCCCAGUCUGAAGAGCAGUGAAACGGCCUACACUGGACGCGAGUCGGGACGGCCCACCAAAAUUCCAUCACCACAACAGCGUCGGACAUUGUUCUGGCAAGAGCUGAAAACUCCCCGACCCCGGGGAGAGCGCCUCUCCGCUGGUUCGUCACGCUGUUUACUCACACGAGCGGCCCACCCAGAGGGCGGCGACACACCUCAGACCCCCACCCCCCAACCUGCAGGGAACACGUCAGCCCCCACUGCGGUCCAGACUGUGACAGUGGGCUUCCUGGGAGGAGAACCCAGCGUGACAUUGGAGGCCGAACGGUCACGACGAGGGAAAAACGGCCCUUCAUCCACAUCGCAGUGAUUUCUGCGCACCGCCGCCAUCAAACCGGGGACGUGUGCGAUCACCGUCACUGGACUUGUUCCAAUCCUCUUGGAUAGAAUAUUUAUGUUUGUAAUAAUGGAAUAUUAAUGCAUUAUGAAGUUAACCCCCUUCAGUGGAUAAACGUGCCUCCUCCCUGCAUUCAACUGGGGAAAUACAUUUUAAAAUAGAAAAGUACAGUGUCAUUUUUUGCCACAAUGCUAAACUAGUUAAGGAGUGGCCACUGAAAUUCAUUCAUUAAAAACCUUUCAACUUUUUAUGUUUGGAUUAAAAUUAAAUGUGCAUGAAAUAAAUUCAAGGAGUCAUUGAUGAUCAGACUUAGAUCGUAUCAGGACGAAG